RNAcentral lists this ribosomal RNA (492 nucleotides) under uncultured bacterium. RNAcentral's name for it is "partial 16S ribosomal RNA". It matches the Rfam family "Bacterial small subunit ribosomal RNA", at positions 30 to 507 of the family's 1533-position model. The record is from RNAcentral.
AUUGAACGCUGGCGGCAUGCUUUACACAUGCAAGUCGAACGGUAACAGGCCUUCGGGUGCUGACGAGUGACGAACGGGUGAGUAAUGCAUCGGAACGUGCCCAGAGGUGGGGGAUAACGCAGCGAAAGCUGUGCUAAUACCGCAUGUGAUCUGAGGAUGAAAGCGGGGGACCAGGCAGCAAUGUUUGGCCUCGCGCCUUUGGAGCGGCCGAUGUCAGAUUAGGUAGUUGGUGGGGUAAAGGCCUACCAAGCCGACGAUCUGUAGCUGGUCUGAGAGGACGACCAGCCACACUGGGACUGAGACACGGCCCAGACUCCUACGGGAGGCAGCAGUGGGGAAUUUUGGACAAUGGGCGCAAGCCUGAUCCAGCAAUGCCGCGUGCGGGAAGAAGGCCUUCGGGUUGUAAACCGCUUUUGUACGGAACGAAAAGGCUCUGGCUAAUACCUGGGGCUGAUGACGGUACCGUAAGAAUAAGCACCGGCUAACUACGUG